RNAcentral lists this long non-coding RNA (498 nucleotides) under Helianthus annuus (common sunflower). Its description in RNAcentral is "sRNA HanXRQr2_Chr11g0508071". The record is from RNAcentral. Lineage: Eukaryota; Viridiplantae; Streptophyta; Magnoliopsida; Asterales; Asteraceae.
GUAUCGUAUCGUAUUGCAUCAUAUCGUAUCGUAUAGUGUAUAGUAUAUAAGUCUCGUAUAGAGGCCUAUACGGGUGUUAUUGUUUAGUAUCGUAUCGUAUCGUAUAGUGUAGUAUAAGUCUCGUAUAGGUUUCCUAUAGGUCUUGUAUAUGCAUAUAGGAUUAGACGGGACUUAAACCACACCUAUACGAUACUACGAUAUCACACUUAUAGGCUUAUACGAGGUUAAUACGUGACCUAAACCACACCUAUACGAUACGAUAUCACACUUAUAGGCUUAUACGAGGUCAAUACGUGACCUAUACGACGCUAUACGAUACGAUAUCACACUUAUAGGCUUAUACGAGGUCAAUACGUGACCUAUACUACGUUAUAUGAUACGAUAUCACACUUAUAGGGUUAUACGAGGUCAAUACGGGAACUAAAUCACACCUAUAUACCUAUACGGGUGUUAUAUCGUAUCGUAUAGUAUCGUAUCGGGUGUUAUUUUCCGUUUUUU